UACGUAGGCAGCAAGCGUUGUUCGGAGUUACUGGGCGUAAAGAGUGCGUGGGCGGUGCCCUAAGUCUGUUGUGAAAUCUCCCGGCUUAACUGGGAGGGUGCGGUGGAAACUGGGGUGCUUGAGUGUGGGAGAGGUUAGCGGAAUUCUUGGUGUAGCGGUGAAAUGCGUAGAUAUCAAGAGGAACACCCGUGGCGAAAGCGGC
Molecule: ribosomal RNA, 202 nt
Filed under: uncultured prokaryote
Description: partial 16S ribosomal RNA
Rfam family: Bacterial small subunit ribosomal RNA
Source: RNAcentral